UUGUGUGUGAACUUUAAAUGCCACGCCAUCUUGAGGGGGUGGUGAGCUAACGCUCGUGCGGGUUCAAGUCCCGCCAACCGCACCA
RNAcentral lists this transfer RNA (85 nucleotides) under Caudoviricetes sp. RNAcentral describes it as "tRNA-Leu". The record is from RNAcentral. Lineage: Duplodnaviria; Heunggongvirae; Uroviricota; Caudoviricetes.